Molecule: long non-coding RNA, 293 nt
Organism: Aplysia californica (California sea hare)
Lineage: Eukaryota; Metazoa; Mollusca; Gastropoda; Aplysiida; Aplysiidae
Exons: 2
Source: RefSeq, a predicted model, not a curated record
UCCUAGCUAUCAGGUACAUAAUGUCCUAGCUAUCAGGUACAUAAUGUCCUAGCUAUGUACAUGACCUACAUAAUGUCCUAGCUAUCAGGUACAUAAUGUCCUAGCUAUGUACAUGACCUACAUAGUGUCUUAGCUAUGUACAUGAGGUACAUAAUGUCCUAGCUAUGUACAUGACCUACAUAAUGUCCUAGCUAUGUACAUGACCUACAUAAUGUCCUAGCUAUGUACAUGACCUACAUAUUGUCCUAGCUAUGUACAUGACCUACAUAAUGUCCUAGCUUUCAGGUACAUAA